AGAUUUGGACCAGUGAGUAUCAAACUUGUAAGGCAACAACUUAUUCAGAAGGAAGAAAAUUUUUAAGAAAUAGCCCAUGAUGGAUUUGCAUUAUUAAAAUAUAUGGAGAAAACAGCAUCAGGGAAGUUUAGGAUGAGAAGUUUCAUCAAUUCUUGUCAAAGGUCCUCACUACUACCUUCAACCUACUUUUCAGAUUUCUGAAAGAUCCAUCUCUUUCUUUCACUCCCUAUAUAAACUGAACCCUGACCGAGACCCACAGAUACAACUGAUUAUUCUUCUAAAUGAAAAUUUUAAAGCCACCAGUCUAUGUAAAAAUUUAUAGCUACAUAAUAAAAUAAUGGCUUUAUUCUCAGUUUCCUUUCCGUUACAGAGUAGAGAAGCCAGUUUUAUGAGUAACUCCUAGCAAUGCCCAAGUUAAAAUCUGGUGUGUUGGAAGCUAAAACCACUGAUGAAUCAUCAUAUUGAUGAAUGGCCACACAAAUUCAGACCACACAAGACUUCAAACCAGGCCUAAAGGUCAACAUGAUAGCCACAAAUGGAAGGGCAGCAGGGAAGAAAGGAAAGAGGAAAAGGAAGAAAGCUUGUUUUCCUUAUAGGCUCCAUGAAGUCAACAGGAAAUGGCUCAGUGUAGAUCAACCAACCACCUUACUGUCCUGAGUAAAAGGCAAGACUGAUAUCUUUCUGAGUGACUGAAGAGUUAAUCACGACUUAGGUAAGACUUUAUCACCUAGAGUUCCGUGUUCGGAUUUUGGAGAAUUCCCUUUGUUUCAUCCCAGU
Molecule: long non-coding RNA, 777 nt
Filed under: Bos indicus x Bos taurus (hybrid cattle)
Lineage: Eukaryota; Metazoa; Chordata; Mammalia; Artiodactyla; Bovidae
Description: lncRNA (ENSBIXG00000003640.1)
Source: RNAcentral